Molecule: long non-coding RNA, 1285 nt
Filed under: Salmo salar (Atlantic salmon)
Lineage: Eukaryota; Metazoa; Chordata; Actinopteri; Salmoniformes; Salmonidae
Description: lncRNA (ENSSSAG00000102118.1)
Source: RNAcentral
UUCGUUAUUGUUUUGUAUUUUGCUAAGUUUCACUUUCUAAUAAAUUAUGUGGAACGCUACUCACGCUGCGCUUUGGUCCGAUCAUUCCAACGAAUGUGACAGGAUAUCCCAUCAAACCAGGACCAAGCAGCGUGUCUGGGAGGAAAUGGCAUCCUGGUCUUUGGAGGAGAUCAGGGAGAAGAUAAGUUGGACCUGGGAGGAAAUAAUGGAAGGACAGUAGAUCCUUCCUUGGCAGGAGUCACAGCAGACGCAAGGAGAGAAGGGAGAACAGAGACGACACCGGGGUUCGCGGCCACAGAGAAAGCCCAAAAGACAGCCCCAAAAAGUUUUUUUGGGGGGGCACAUGGAGUGGUCGGCGGAGCCGAGGAGUGAUUCAGAGACCGAGGAGGAAUAUUGGGACAGAUUGAGCGAGGAAUGGGUGGCGAAAGUUGAGGAGAGUGAUGAGAGAGCUGUUGGUUUGGCGUAGUAUGCACGGCAUUCGCCCUGAGGAGCGUGUUAGCCGUCCGAGGCCACCUGAGUCAGCUCCUCGUACUCGUCCUGAGAAGUGUGUUAAAGUUCUGGUACAAUUGAUGCCGGCUAUACGCACCAGGUCUCCAGUACGCCUUCACAGCCCAGUACGUCCUGUGCCAACUCCCCGUACGGAGUGUGUGACCGGUCAGGCACCAUGUUUUGUGGUGAUACGCACGAUGUCUCCAGUGCGCAUCCACAGCCCGGUACGUUCUGUGCCAGCUCCUCGCACUUGCCGUGCGAAAGUAGGCAUCUGUCCAGGACGCGUUGUGCCAGCUCUACGCUCCAGACCUCCAGUGCGUCUCCACGGUCCAGUAUAUCCUGUGCCUGCUCCCCGCACUCGCCCUGAAGUGCGUGUCACCAGUCUGGUGCCACCUGUCCCGGCUCCACGCACCAUGCCUCCAGUGCGCCUUCACAGUCCAGAGCUUCCGGCGACAGUUCCCAGUCCAGAGCUUCCAGCGACGGCCCACGGUCCGGAACCUCCUGAGACGGCCCACGGUCCGGAACCUCCUGAGAUGGCCCAUGGUCCGGAACAUCCUGAGACGGUCAACGGUCCGGGACCUCCAGCUCCAAGGCCAGAGUCUUCUUCUGCGUUGGUGCCCAGUCUAGGCAAAGCAUCCAGUCUGGGUCCAGGGCUGGAUCCGUAGGAUGAGCGGGUUCUUCGGCCCACAGCAGAGCUGCCCCCGAUGCUGGUGGAUGAGCGGGUUCUUCGUCCCGCACCAGAGCCGCCUCCGAUGCUGGCGGAUCCGCGGGAUGAGAGGGUUCUUCGUCCUGCACC